This 498-nucleotide ribosomal RNA is filed under the name uncultured bacterium. Its description in RNAcentral is "bacterial SSU rRNA". It matches the Rfam family "Bacterial small subunit ribosomal RNA", at positions 28 to 507 of the family's 1533-position model. The record is from RNAcentral.
GGCUAACGCUGGCGGCGUGUCUUAGCCAUGCAAGUCGAGCGGACUUAUGGGGUAACUUAUAAGUCAGCGGCGGACGGCGGAGUAACACGUAGCUAACCUACCCUCUGGACGGGGAUAACCUACCGAAAGGUGGGCUAAUACCCGAUGUAGUCAUCCUGUAUAGGGGUGAUGAAAGGUGGGCUUCUGUUUACAAGCUCAUGCUGGAGGAGGGGGCUGCGGCCUAUCAGGUAGUUGGUAGGGUAAUAGCCUACCAAGCCGAUGACGGGUAGCCGGCCUGGGAGGGUGACCGGCCCGAGGGGCACUGAGAUACGGGUCCCACUCCUACGGGAGGCAGCAGGCUAGAAAUUUGGGCAAUGGGGGAAACCCUGACCCAGUGACGCCGCGUGCAGGAAGGAGCCCUUCGGGGUGUAAACUGCUGUCGUGUAGGGAGAAGGGUACUAAGGUGAACAAUCUUAGUACUUGACGGUACUACAGGAGGAAGCCCAGGCUAACCUCGUG